Molecule: ribosomal RNA, 234 nt
Filed under: Hyponectria buxi
Lineage: Eukaryota; Fungi; Ascomycota; Sordariomycetes; Amphisphaeriales; Hyponectriaceae
Description: partial 18S ribosomal RNA
Rfam family: Eukaryotic small subunit ribosomal RNA
Source: RNAcentral
UUGGAGGGCAAGUCUGGUGCCAGCAGCCGCGGUAAUUCCAGCUCCAAUAGCGUAUAUUAAAGUUGUUGCAGUUAAAAAGCUCGUAGUUGAACCUUGGGCCUGGCUGGCCGGUCCGCCUCACCGCGUGCACUGGUUCGGCCGGGCCUUUCCCUCUGGGGAGCCGCAUGCUCUUCACUGAGUGUGUCGGGGAACCAGGACUUUUACUGUGAAAAAAUUAGAGUGUUUAAAGCAGGC